UACAGAGGGUGCAAGCGUUAAUCGGAUUUACUGGGCGUAAAGCGUGCGUAGGCGGUUCAUUAAGUCGGUUGUGAAAUCCCUGGGCUUAACCUGGGAACUGCAGUCGAUACUGGUGAACUAGAGUGCGGUAGAGGGUGGCGGAACUCCGGGUGUAGCGGUGAAAUGCGUAGAUAUCCGGAAGAACACCGAUGGCGAAGGCAACCACCUGGGCCUGCACUGACGCUGAGGUACGAAAGCGUGGGGAGCAAACAGG
RNAcentral lists this ribosomal RNA (253 nucleotides) under uncultured bacterium. RNAcentral describes it as "partial 16S ribosomal RNA". It matches the Rfam family "Bacterial small subunit ribosomal RNA", at positions 524 to 776 of the family's 1533-position model. The record is from RNAcentral.